UGAGGAAUAUUGGUCAAUGGGGGCAACCCUGAACCAGCCAAGUCGCGUGAAGGAUGAAGGUCUUAUGGAUUGUAAACUUCUUUUACACGGGAAUAAAGUGGGGGACGUGUCCCCCUUUGCAUGUACCGUGUGAAUAAGGAUCGGCUAACUCCGUGCCAGCAGCCGCGGUAAUACGGAGGAUCCGAGCGUUAUCCGGAUUUAUUGGGUUUAAAGGGUGCGCAGGCGGGAUGUUAAGUCGGCGGUGAAAUUUUGCAGCUCAACUGUAAAAGUGCCUUCGAUACUGGCCUCCUUGAGUGUGGAUGAAGUCGGCGGAAUUUGUGGUGUAGCGGUGAAAUGCUUAGAUAUCACGAGGAACUCCGAUUGCGCAGGCAGCUUACUAAGCCACAACUGGCGCUCAUGCACGAAGGCGUGGGGAUCAAACA
This 422-nucleotide ribosomal RNA is filed under the name uncultured bacterium. Its description in RNAcentral is "bacterial SSU rRNA". It matches the Rfam family "Bacterial small subunit ribosomal RNA", at positions 355 to 774 of the family's 1533-position model. The record is from RNAcentral.